Molecule: long non-coding RNA, 555 nt
Filed under: Pan troglodytes (chimpanzee)
Lineage: Eukaryota; Metazoa; Chordata; Mammalia; Primates; Hominidae
Description: long non-coding RNA NONPTRT003885
Source: RNAcentral
GAGGGGGAAGUGCUUCCGGGGAAACGGGCCGGGGUUGGUGUUUGUAAACUUGCCUCGGUCCCGGUGGGGGCAGCCGCGGCGGUGGGGUUGGCAGGGUGUGCUGGGGCCUGGAGGAGGCGCCGCGCGGCCGGGGAGCCAGCGGGAGGCCGCGCCUGGCAGGUUUCUGAAACAGAUCGUGAGCUUCAUCAAGAGAAUUCAACUGGAAAACCAAGACUGGUAGACUCUCUUUUUCUUCAGACAAUAGGCAGGAGCCAGGCAGAGUCCAGGGAUUCUUGGAACACCUAUCUUUUCUUCGGAGGACACUAAGUUCUAUUUGAAAACAAAGUUCAAUAUGGCAACAGGACUGAUGGGACACGAAGGAGUCGCUACCGUGAUUUGGUGACAGUUCUUCAAAACGACAGUGUCUCAAGGAAAGGUGGACCUAGGAACUCCUGAACUUUUGGGUUGCCUUAAGUGAGAAAUCAGCAUGGCUCAGGUAAAAAGCUCUAGAGUCCUCCUCCAAGAUAACUGGGAAGCCUGUUUGCAGUUUCACUCUUGAAUGCUGCCUUAGUCAAC